UCCCACACUAUAUAAAGCAACCGACAGCGCAUUAUCAAUCUCUUCAAUUCCAGCUAAGUCACAGCGACGGUCCAUUAUCUUCUGAACAAACCCUAGACCUGGAUGAUGAACAAAUGGUUAUGCAGAAGGAUUACAAUGUCAAUCUGCAGCGACUUCAAAGGCCUGGAUGAGAAUGGAGCGGUGGGCAUUCUGAUGGGAGGUAAUUCAGGUGUACAACCUUUGCACAGACCAGUGGGAUUGAAAAUUAACCACGGGACAUUCUAAAGUUAUUGUGCCUAUUGGAGGUGUGAUGACCCCAUCAGCGUGGGAUUGAAUGGCUGGUAUGGAGGUACAGGUGUGCCUCAACACUGCUUGGACAUGCACCAAUCUGGGUUUUGAUGGGUAUGCCUGUCGCAGUUCUUGGCAACUGGCUCUGGGUGAUGUGACCGGCACUGACAGACUACACUUCCAUGGUUAUAUGGCCUUAUUCCAGGGUUUUAAGGUCUUGGUACACCAACCAAGUUGGAUGUGGCCCCAUCUGUACACCAAGGUGUUUCUCUGGCUUGUCACUUGCUUAUUGGGACAUUUAGGAGACCUGUUCAGAAUGUGUGAAGUCGUUGGUUAACCAACUGUUCAAUUGUGUGGGACUUUGUCUCAACCUGUCCUGCAUUUCAUCAAUAAAUAUAACAAUCACAGUUAGUCAACUAAUUAGAUUCCAGCUUAACUUAGAUCUGGAGGUCUGUUGACAAAUUGCACAUAAAUGCUGAAAUCUAUCUGGGGGACUCCUUGAAGUUGAACUUAACAGGUUGAUUCUGUCAUUCAGGGCAAAGCCCCACUUUUGUGAAAUAAUUUGCCAUUAAAAUCUCUUUUCAAACAAUGUAAAGAAAGCUACAA
Oncorhynchus kisutch (coho salmon) is the source of this 873-nucleotide long non-coding RNA. RefSeq lists it as uncharacterized. The transcript has 8 exons. NCBI's taxonomy places the organism in Eukaryota, Metazoa, Chordata, Actinopteri, Salmoniformes, Salmonidae. The record is from RefSeq and is a predicted model, not a curated record.